AGUCGAGCGGAAGGCCCGUUUCGGGGGUACUCGAGCGGCGAACGGUGUGAGUAAUCACGCUGUAUGCUCAUAUCUGCCCUGGACUCUGAGGAUAGGCACACUCGGAAACGGUGAUUAACUACCGGAUAUUACUGCUACAGGCAUCUGAUUGGUGGUGGAAAGUUUUUUCUGGUCCAGGAUGUGCUCGGCGCGCCUAUCAGGCUAUGUAUGGUGAGGUAGAUGGUCGUACACCAAUGGACUUUGACGGGUAGCCGGCCUGAGAGGGUGACCGGUCACACUGGGACUGAGACACGGCCCAUACUCCUACGGGAGGCAGCAGUGGGGAAUAUUGGACAAUGGGCGGAAGCCUGAUCCAGCAACGCCGCGUGAGGGAUGACGGCCUUCGGGUUGUAAACCUCUUUCAGUACCGACGAAGCGCAAGUGACGGUAGGUACAGAAGAAGGACCGGCCAACUACGUGCCAGCAGCCGCGGUAAUACGUAGGGUCCGAGCGUUGUCCGGAAUUAUUGGGCGUAAAGGGCUCGUAGGCGGUUUGUCGCGUCGGGAGUGAAAACCAUGGGCUUAACUCAUGGCUUGCUUCCGAUACGGGCAGACUAGAGGUAUGCAGGGGAGAAUGGAAUUCCUGGUGUAGCGGUGAAAUGCGCAGAUAUCAGGAGGAACACCGGUGGCGAAGGCGGGUUCUCUGGGCAUUACCUGACGCUGAGGAGCGAAAGUGUGGGGAGCGAACAGGAUUAGAUACCCUGGUAGUCCACACCUGUACACGUUGGGCGCUAGUGUGGGGCUAU
RNAcentral lists this ribosomal RNA (784 nucleotides) under Nocardioides sp. RNAcentral describes it as "bacterial SSU rRNA". It matches the Rfam family "Bacterial small subunit ribosomal RNA", at positions 60 to 830 of the family's 1533-position model. Lineage: Bacteria; Bacillati; Actinomycetota; Actinomycetes; Propionibacteriales; Nocardioidaceae. The record is from RNAcentral.